CCUUAUAAAACGUCUUCGUUUUGGGCGGGCAGUCUGCAAAUUUGGCUCGGCUCGCACUUCACGGGAGGUGCGAGGGAGAUGUCUCGACUUGCUCAGAGUCUCCCUCCUUCCUCGCGGAGGAGAGAUGUCAAGACCUGUCAGAAGACUCAGCGAAGUUUGCAUGAGCCCUAAAGUGAAGCGGGUAGGAGGGGACUGAGCUGCGUCAACCCGGGCUCUGAGUCUUGCCUUUUUUUUUUUUUUUUUUUUUUUUAUCCGAGGCUACUUCCCACUCCCCUUGCGCAUCAGACAGACGAACCAGGCUGUGUGCUAACGUUUGGUUUCAGUUCCUUAGUCCCGCCGUGACUCACGGCCACGUUAGCGAGUUAACCUUUCCCGAGCUCCUGGCUGUAGCGCAGAAUCUGCAGCGUGAAGUCCCCCGCCACCCGACCUGGCGGGACGUGGGCGGCAGCCACCGCCUUGGGUGAGGUAGGUGGUGCCCACCCCUGCCCCUGGCCCCACUAUUUUAGCGGAGAGAACGGUUUAACCUUGACUAUCAGAGAGCCUGGAGAUAACUAUGCUUAUGUAAUUCUCCAGAAAAACCUCUCAAAGGCAUAUUCACCUAACGCAGCUGAAGAGAACCCCCACAACAUUUAUUUACCCAGCGUUUAAUGUCUGGCAAACGUUUUCCAUGUCUCAUAUAGUCCACAUAAUAAUUAUUAUAUCUAUUUUAAAGAUGAAGAAACAGGUCCUAGAAGAUACUGGGUAACUUGCUUGUGAUUUCACAGCCAGUUGGGUGGCCAAGGUAGGAUCCCAACCCAGGUGUGUUUAGCUGCAGAACCUGGUUUGUAACUACUAAGCCAUACUACCUUCUCACAAGACAGUUCCCAGAUUUUACUUUCUUAGGUUCAGUCUUCAGGUAGUGUGAUCAGACUGUCUCUUAAACCCGAGCAGGAGGGAUCUCUACCAUGUGGUUCUUCUCUUGUAAUGCCCCCCUCCCAUGGGGUCAAGGAACCUGAACCCUCUUCUAGACCAUGCUGCAGGGAGUCACAGUUCUAGAAUCCUCUGUCCAAAGAGUACCAAACCCUCCUCCAGGACUUGGUUGGACCUUUGAACUCAGUCUUGGGUCCAGGAAUGGCUCUUUGUUGGAGUGUGGGCAGUGCUUGGACUUGUGGGCUGAGGUGUGCACUCCCAGGCACUUUGGGCCCCUACUAGGCGCCAGAAGAGGGCUCAGUGGAGUCAGCUUUCCCUUCCCUGCCCCUUUCCAGCCUCCUCCUUAGAAGAGUCCAGGAAUUCAUGAUUCACACCUCGCCAUCCAGGUUCUUGUAAAGAGGUAUUUGUCAGGGUGGGAGGAUAGAUCGAUCAUACUUUGUUAACAGUUCGUUAUCUUGAUUUAUAACUUAAAUACUUAGAUUACUGCCAUGUGGGCCUCUCUUUGUCCUCUUGCCCACAAAUACUGGGAGUGGUUCUCAGUAUGACAUGGUACAAAAUACUUUGUCCUUUACAGGUCUGGUGUCUAAUCUCAAGAACCGGAUAUCAAUUAUUAUCAGCAGGUCCCUUGAGCUCUCCUCACUUUAGUUUCCUGGUCUAUAAAAUGGUGAUAAUAGAAUUUGCCCUACCCACCUAGCUACACGGGGAACCUUGGAGAGAGUCUAGUGACCAAACCCCUCAUUUUGCAUCAGAGAGCACUGAGCAGAAUUGGAACCCUGGUGUCCUAGCAGCACUUUACAUGGUGCCAGCUUGUCCUUGGGGAUAAUAAUUAGCAGAUAGUGGAUGAAAACCUGCUUUUAAAGCUGCAGUGCCCCAUAAAUGCAGGGCAAUUACUACCCUGACCCAGCCCCAUCUAGAAGAUACCACCCUCAGGACGUCAGGUAGUCAUGUGGGUGGGUAUUAUUGAACCUUGGUACGAGUACCAGAAAGAUGCCACAGUUUGAAUACUUUCUAUUAGGGAUUCUUCAGUAGUAACUUUUACUACGUUCGAUGGUCUCCCACAGAAAGAUUUGCACGAGGGCUUUGGGAUUGAAAAUGAAGUAAGGAAAUUGCUGAUGCACAAAUUUUUAAGGUUGGUCACUUCCUCCUGUGAAAUCUGUUAGGUGUCUUUGCCUCACUUAUGGCAUGAAUCAUUAUCCUGUACCAUAAUUAUUUACAUGUCUGUGUCUUGUCACCCAGCACCAUGUGAAUGCCUUGAGGGCAGAGUCCAUAUCUGGUUUAUCUUUGCAGCCACCUCUGUCCCUCAUAACACCUAGUACGGUGCCUACACGGGAGGCCUUCCGUCAGUAUUUAUUGGUGAAUGUAUGAAUCAAAUUUAUUCCUUUUCCAAAUUCCGCUUGUAGUAGAAGAUUAUAUUAAUCCCUGGUGAGAGAGAACACUUCCUGGAUCCUUAGAAAAAUGUAUACUAAUGUUUCGGUCUCCCUGAGUCAUAAAAAUGACUUUUAAGAUGAGCAGAGUCUACUCUUAUUUGGGUGAAAGCACAAAAUCAGUGCGGUCUUGAAGAAAGAUACCAAAGUGUCCAAUGGAUAAACCCUUUCUUUGAAGACGACUUAAUUUUGCACGUAACACAAAAAGGCAUUUUUUAGAAAACAGUCUAAUGUAAAAGUUACCGAGUAAGGACUGCUUAACCCUUGACAAUGUAUGUUGCAUAAACAAGGGUACCAUCCCUUGGCCUUUGCUCACACAGUGGGACUGCUGAGCUUCUGUGAUGCUGAGGUUGGGCCUUCAAACAGCUGGAUGGUUUCUUAGAAUAUGAAUCUUCUAAGUCCUUAAGAACAUAAGUACCUACCUGUCCUCUACAUUUAUAGAAAGUAGAGGUUUAUUUCAUCAUGUUUGUAGUUUUAGCCGAUGCCACCUCUAGGUAAACAUUUUAACUAGUGUUUCCUUUGAGCUUUUUUAAGGUUUCAUUUUUUAUGGUCCCAUUUCGCUCUGGUUUUCAUUUGAAAGGAGGGCAUCAGUAAAGAUGGAGAGAUGGAAAUCCAAGCAAUAGGAUGUCCGCUGAAUGGAAGUUUUGAGGAGAGGACAGAGGAGGAGUCUGAGGACUUGAGUAGGAAUGCCGAAGACACAUCCUUUCUCUCCCAACAGUCAAGAAAAGCCAAGAGACCUGAACUGGAGCUGAGAGGGUGAGACGUUGAGAAAGUUCAAGCAACAAGCAAACAUCUCUCCAUAAACAGAAAUGGCAAGGCAUCUGCUGAAAGAAGGGAGGAAGGAUCUUGAUAACUCUUCUGGUCAUAUUCUAUUAAAAUUCCAGAGGGCUUUGUAUCGACACAUACAAAUAAAUAAUAACAAAAUUAACUGUGUAUCUCCCAUAUGCCAACCUUUGUGAAAAUACACAAACCACUGACUUAUGUGAUGAAAAGUUUCAUUACUAAUGGGAAAGUAAAUGAACUCAAUAAAACUCUCUUACUUA
Non-coding RNA from Callorhinus ursinus (northern fur seal), 3376 nucleotides. Lineage: Eukaryota; Metazoa; Chordata; Mammalia; Carnivora; Otariidae. The record is from RefSeq and is a predicted model, not a curated record.